This 253-nucleotide ribosomal RNA is filed under the name uncultured bacterium. RNAcentral describes it as "partial 16S ribosomal RNA". It matches the Rfam family "Bacterial small subunit ribosomal RNA", at positions 524 to 776 of the family's 1533-position model. The record is from RNAcentral.
UACGUAGGGGGCAAGCGUUGUCCGGAUUUAUUGGGCGUAAAGCGCACGCAGGCGGUCUCUUAAGUUUUGAGUGACAGGUGGUGGCUCAACUGCCACAGGCCUCAGAAGACUGGGAGACUUGAGGACGAGAGAGGGAUGCAGAAUUCCAGGUGUAGCGGUGAAAUGCGUAGAUAUCUGGAGGAAUACCGGUGGCGAAGGCGGCAUCCUGGACCGGCAUUGACGCUGAUGAGCGAAAGCUAGGGGAGCAAACGGG